UACGUAGGGUGCGAGCGUUAAUCGGAAUUACUGGGCGUAAAGCGUGCGCAGGCGGUCUGUUAAGACCGAUGUGAAAUCCCCGGGCUUAACCUGGGAACUGCAUUGGUGACUGGCAGGCUUUGAGUGUGGCAGAGGGGGGGUAGAAUUCCACGUGUAGCAGUGAAAUGCGUAGAGAUGUGGAGGAAUACCGAUGGCGAAGGCAGCCCCCUGGGCCAACACUGACGCUCAUGCACGAAAGCGUGGGGAGCAAACAGG
This 255-nucleotide ribosomal RNA is filed under the name uncultured bacterium. RNAcentral describes it as "partial 16S ribosomal RNA". It matches the Rfam family "Bacterial small subunit ribosomal RNA", at positions 524 to 776 of the family's 1533-position model. The record is from RNAcentral.